Molecule: ribosomal RNA, 472 nt
Filed under: uncultured bacterium
Lineage: Bacteria
Description: bacterial SSU rRNA
Rfam family: Bacterial small subunit ribosomal RNA
Source: RNAcentral
CUGGCGGCGUGCUUAACACAUGCAAGUCGAACGAAGCACUUUAUUACAAUUUCUUCGGAAUGACGAUUUAGUGACUGAGUGGCGGACGGGUGAGUAACGCGUGGGUAACCUGCCUUAUACAGGGGGAUAACAGUUAGAAAUGACUGGUAAUACCGCAUAAGCGCACAGUACCGCAUGGUACAGUGUGAAAAACUCCGGUGGUAUAAGAUGGACCCGCGUCUGAUUAGCUAGUUGGUGAGGUAACGGCUCACCAAGGCGACGAUCAGUAGCCGACCUGAGAGGGUGACCGGCCACAUUGGGACUGAGACACGGCCCAGACUCCUACGGGAGGCAGCAGUGGGGAAUAUUGCACAAUGGAGGAAACUCUGAUGCAGCGACGCCGCGUGAGUGAAGAAGUAUUUCGGUAUGUAAAGCUCUAUCAGCAGGGAAGAUAAUGACGGUACCUGACUAAGAAGCACCGGCUAAAUACGUG